GAUGAACGCUGGCGGCGUGCCUAAUACAUGCAAGUCGAGCGAAUGGAUUAAGAGCUUGCUCUUAUGAAGUUAGCGGCGGACGGGUGAGUAACACGUGGGUAACCUGCCCAUAAGACUGGGAUAACUCCGGGAAACCGGGGCUAAUACCGGAUAACAUUUUGAACCGCAUGGUUUGAAAUUGAAAGGCGGCUUCGGCUGUCACUUAUGGGUGGACCCGCGUCGCAUUAGCUAGUUGGGGAGGUAACGGCUCACCAAGGCAACGAUGCGUAGCCGACCGGAGAGGGUGAUCGGCCACACUGGGACUGAGACACGGCCCAGACUCCUACGGGAGGCAGCAGUAGGGAAUCUUCCGCAAUGGACGAAAGUCUGACGGAGCAACGCCGCGUGAGUGAUGAAGGCUUUCGGGUCGUAAAACUCUGUUGUUAGGGAAGAACAAGUGCUAGUUGAAUAAGCUGGCACCUUGACGGUACCUAACCAGAAAGCCACGGCUAACUACGUGCCAGCCGCCGCAGUAA
This 515-nucleotide ribosomal RNA is filed under the name uncultured bacterium. RNAcentral describes it as "partial 16S ribosomal RNA". It matches the Rfam family "Bacterial small subunit ribosomal RNA", at positions 28 to 523 of the family's 1533-position model. The record is from RNAcentral.